GAACCGGAAGCCGGGUUACGGUG
Molecule: small nuclear RNA, 23 nt
Filed under: Arabidopsis thaliana (thale cress)
Lineage: Eukaryota; Viridiplantae; Streptophyta; Magnoliopsida; Brassicales; Brassicaceae
Description: snRNA_10172
Source: RNAcentral